AGCAGCUCAAGAUUACUCUGUGGAACCAAGAAGUAUUAAUGGAAAAUGUUGAGCUGAUUCUUGAAGCUUUUGAUUACCUUCAGUUCCCAUUUGCUUUAAAGCAAGGUCAUGUUGGCAAGUUGAGUAUUAGGAUUCCAUGGAAAAAGCUUGGCUGGGAUCUUGUUAUAAUCAUCUUAGAGGAUGUAUUGAUCUGUGCCUCCCAACGAGAUGAAAAAGAG
This is a long non-coding RNA of Ipomoea nil (Japanese morning glory), 218 nucleotides long. RefSeq lists it as uncharacterized. Lineage: Eukaryota; Viridiplantae; Streptophyta; Magnoliopsida; Solanales; Convolvulaceae. The record is from RefSeq and is a predicted model, not a curated record. The transcript has 3 exons.